RNAcentral lists this transfer RNA (88 nucleotides) under Dehalococcoidia bacterium. RNAcentral's name for it is "tRNA-Ser". It matches the Rfam family "tRNA". From Rfam's summary of the family: Transfer RNA (tRNA) molecules are approximately 80 nucleotides in length. Their secondary structure includes four short double-helical elements and three loops (D, anti-codon, and T loops). Further hydrogen bonds mediate the characteristic L-shaped molecular structure. tRNAs have two regions of fundamental functional importance: the anti-codon, which is responsible for specific mRNA codon recognition, and the 3' end, to which the tRNAs corresponding amino acid is attached (by aminoacyl-tRNA synthetases). tRNAs cope with the degeneracy of the genetic code in two manners: having more than one tRNA (with a specific anti-codon) for a particular amino acid; and 'wobble' base-pairing, i.e. permitting non-standard base-pairing at the 3rd anti-codon position. The record is from RNAcentral. Lineage: Bacteria; Bacillati; Chloroflexota; Dehalococcoidia.
GGAGGGGUGCCGGAGUGGCCGAACGGAGCCGUCUUGAAAACGGCCGGCGCGCGAGCGCCCGUGGGUUCGAAUCCCACCCCCUCCGCCA